RNAcentral lists this ribosomal RNA (77 nucleotides) under Escherichia coli. RNAcentral's name for it is "partial 16S ribosomal RNA". It matches the Rfam family "Bacterial small subunit ribosomal RNA", at positions 1 to 75 of the family's 1533-position model. The record is from RNAcentral. Lineage: Bacteria; Pseudomonadati; Pseudomonadota; Gammaproteobacteria; Enterobacterales; Enterobacteriaceae.
UUAAAUUGAAGAGUUUGAUCAUGGCUCAGAUUGAACGCUGGCGGCAGGCCUAACACAUGCAAGUCGAACGGUAGUGG